Molecule: long non-coding RNA, 433 nt
Filed under: Fukomys damarensis (Damara mole-rat)
Lineage: Eukaryota; Metazoa; Chordata; Mammalia; Rodentia; Bathyergidae
Description: lncRNA (ENSFDAG00000031958.1)
Source: RNAcentral
GUUUUUUAAAAAAAUGAUUGCUGUAGGAGAUUAAAAAUGGUAAAGACUAGCAGCAAAAUAUAGCCUGUCUAAGACCUGGACUUUAGACACCUGGUAAACAUCAACUAGGUAAAGGAAAAAAGAAGUAGAUCUCCAGGAAUCAAGAGGGACCUGACAGGAAAACUAGAAAAUAGGAGAAGUUGGAAAAACUGAAUGCCACACAUCGAAAAGAAUGAAAUAGCAUGAGAGACUAACCCCAGAUCCUGGGAAAAGGGACUUGUCUCCUGUAAUACACGGGUGAACCCCCCGCUGCAGAGGAGCUCGUGUCUCUCAGGCUGUCAGAAUGUAGAAGCUGCUGCAGAAGCCGGGGAGGGGGUGUCGAAGAAUCUCCUUGACAGCUCCCAUUAAGUGAAAUACGAGGUGAAACAGAAUGAAAUAAAAUUGGGAAUGAGAU